AAGAAGACCCUUUUAUCCCUCCUCCUGCUGAGAGUAAGUGUUUCCUACAAUCUCUGUCUGACUCAUUUCCAUAGUAAGACAGGGACACUUGGUCUCAAACAU
RNAcentral lists this small nucleolar RNA (102 nucleotides) under Myotis lucifugus (little brown bat). RNAcentral's name for it is "Small nucleolar RNA SNORA63 (ENSMLUG00000021270.2)". Lineage: Eukaryota; Metazoa; Chordata; Mammalia; Chiroptera; Vespertilionidae. The record is from RNAcentral.